This 484-nucleotide ribosomal RNA is filed under the name uncultured bacterium. RNAcentral's name for it is "partial 16S ribosomal RNA". It matches the Rfam family "Bacterial small subunit ribosomal RNA", at positions 28 to 523 of the family's 1533-position model. The record is from RNAcentral.
GACGAACGCUGGCGGCGUGCUUAACACAUGCAAGUCGAACGAUGAAGCUAGAGCUUGCUCUGGUGAAUUAGUGGCGAACGGGCGAGUAACACGUGAGUAACCUGCCCCGAACUCUGGGAUAACUGCUGGAAACGGUAGCUAAUACUGGAUACGACCUACGAAGGCAUCUUCUGUAGGUGGAAAGAAUUUCGGUUCGGGAUGGACUCGCGGCCUAUCAGCUUGUUGGUGAGGUAAUGGCUCACCAAGGCGACGACGGGUAGCCGGCCUGAGAGGGUGACCGGCCACACUGGGAGUGAGACACGGCCCAGACUCCUACGGGAGGCAGCAGUGGGGAAGAUUGCACAAUGGGCGCAAGCCUGAUGCAGCAACGCCGCGUGAGGGAUGACGGCCGUCGGGUUGUAAACCUCUUUUAGUAGGGAAGAAGCGAAAGUGACGGUACCUGCAGAAAAAGCACCGGCUAACUACGUGCCAGCCGCCGCAGUAA